AUUUUAAUGAAUAUUAUAUAUUAAUUUAUAUAAAAAUUUUAAAAAUUUUAAAAAUUCCAAAAUUUGACCCUCCUAACUUGGCCUUUUGAUCUCCGGUACCUGCGAUGAGGAAGUAAUGAAUAGGUGAUUAAAAAGCGAUAAAGGGUGAUGUAAAGCCCAAAUUUUGCCCGGGCCUAACAAACCCAAAAACUAAACACUACAGCCCAAAUAAAAACUAAAUGCAUUCGGCUGAAUAAGGCCCAAAUUAUUAACCCUAGCACUAGCCCAAAAUACAAAACAGAAGCAGAAAGAACCCUAGCAGUAGCCCUCUUCCCAGCCUCGGUGCCGCACAACCGCCUCCACGCACGAACACACAGUAGCCCCGCAUGUCGCGCACGUCGCGCACGUCGCACUCGCAUAGCCUACGUACUUUAAUCCAGUACCUACCUACAACAAAAUCAGGAACCACGAGCAGCAAAUGGCAGCAGAAAUUACAACAAAUGGAAGGGAGUUUUCGAGGGAUUUUUUUCAUUAUUUUUGGCUAUAUAAAGCCAAAUAAAAUCUGUAAAUAGGGGUUAGAAAAAAAUGUGGUAUUAAGAAAUAUUAAAAUACAGAAACAAGGAAUCAAAAGAAACAAUUUUGGAAGGUGAUUUUCUUCAUUUUUUUUGUAUCGCUUUCUUCGUUAUUUCUUUGUUUUUUCGUUUUUUCUGGGUGUGCAAAACAGAAAUAAAGAGAAGGAGAGAAGAUUCUUACCUGCGUGGAGGAAGACGGAGCCCUAUUUCCUUUGCCCGAAUCGGAGUCGGAGGGAAGCUUGAGGCUCGCUGAAGUGGUUGUGGCGGCUGGGGGGAGUUUGGGUUAAGGAAAACCUAGCAGAGGUUUCCCCUUUGUUUUAGUUUUUUUUUUAAAAAUGAAAUGAAAUUGUUUUUUAGAAAAAAAAUUGUUUUUAAUAAUAAAAGUAAAACGGCGCCGUUUGGUGUAGGGAUACCCGCGCGCGACCCGACCAAUUUUCUCAGGAUCUGCGUGUUUUUACUUUUAAUGGUCUAAUUCCGUAAUAAGUCCUUCCGC
Molecule: long non-coding RNA, 1044 nt
Filed under: Gossypium raimondii (Peruvian cotton)
Lineage: Eukaryota; Viridiplantae; Streptophyta; Magnoliopsida; Malvales; Malvaceae
Description: long non-coding RNA (GRAI_LNC007575)
Source: RNAcentral